UAAGGAAUAUUGGUCAAUGGACGCAAGUCUGAACCAGCCAUGCCGCGUGAAGGAUGAAGGUCCUCUGGAUUGUAAACUUCUUUUAUCUGGGACGAAAACGGGAUUUUUAUCUCAAUUGACGGUACCAGAGGAAUAAGCACCGGCUAACUCCGUGCCAGCAGCCGCGGUAAUACGGAGGGUGCGAGCGUUAUCCGGAUUUACUGGGUUUAAAGGGUGCGUAGGCGGAUGAAUAAGUCAGUGGUGAAAUCUCCGAGCUUAACUCGGAAACUGCCGUUGAUACUAUUUGUCUUGAAUAUUGUGGAGGUAAACGGAAUAUGUCAUGUAGCGGUGGAAUGCUUCGAUAUGACAUAGAACACCAAUUGCGAAGGUAGCUUGCUACACAAUCAUUGACGCUGAGGCACGAAAGCGUGG
RNAcentral lists this ribosomal RNA (411 nucleotides) under uncultured bacterium. Its description in RNAcentral is "bacterial SSU rRNA". It matches the Rfam family "Bacterial small subunit ribosomal RNA", at positions 355 to 764 of the family's 1533-position model. The record is from RNAcentral.